Molecule: long non-coding RNA, 1020 nt
Organism: Aegilops tauschii subsp. strangulata
Lineage: Eukaryota; Viridiplantae; Streptophyta; Magnoliopsida; Poales; Poaceae
Source: RefSeq, a predicted model, not a curated record
GAUAGUUCCAAGCUGAUGUUUGUUUCCCUUGCAUGAAUUGAACAUGCUACUCUAAAAUCAGAGAGCAGACAACUAUAGGUUUAUUUUUUAGUUUAAGUAUAGUAGCUACUAGCUACUGUAUGUGCAAUGCGAGCAGAUUGUAAAAUAUGCAAACCCCUGAUGUAUACUAGGAAGUGUUUGUUCAUUAGUAUGGAAACAUGUGUCGUAGUGUCUAGGACCCGCCGGUGAGCUGAUCCACUCUUUAGUUUUCCACCUUUUACUUUUAGCGUUUAAUUUUGUUGUCCUUUCCUACGGAUUUUCAUUAUUUCUCUUCUUUAUAUGUUCAAAUUGUAAAGGAGGUAAAAUGCACGUGUAUGUCCUUGAUGCAGAUCUCUUUGAUUUAUAUAUGUGCUCACGAGGACAUUCCCAUUGCAUCUGAAUUGACAAGUUGAAGAAUCUGGUCUUUUUGUGCUUGCCUACAGAACUGUCAUAUCUUAUAUUUGUUGGUCAAAUAAAAACGACUGAUGGUUGAUUGUCUCAACCACAAAUGAGCAUUUCUGGAUUGUAGAACAAAGAGUGCCCCGGGCAAAAGGACCAAGUUUUGGCGGGUGGGCAUCGGGAGUCCAGUUGGUUGGCUUCAGCCUUUGAGGUGCUGUCGGCUAGCGGCGCCGCUUCUGAGUGUCUCCUCAACUCACUCCCGUGGCACCUUCGGCCGGUUCAUGUCAAGUGCCACCUGUGAAGUUGAUCGACAAGGCAGUUGAAUGAAGCCACUUAUUAGCACCUUGCUUGCUCUUCUUUCUUUUUGGAGCCAAAAGAUCCAUCGGCGCUCCACUACCGGGCUUUGAUUUGAAGAGACUGCUGGGCAAGGCUAUCUCGGUCAUCUUCGGUCUGAUACAUAGGUCAAACCAGGACUCACACACUCUCUCGCCGAUAUUUCACUUCGCUCCCGUGAAUAUAUCGUCUUCUACGCACGGCGGCGCUGCCUUGGAUCGGCCCUCCAUCGUGCCGCUUUGUUCGUCACCACGCAUCUCAGCUCCAAUA